UCCGUAGGGGGCAAGCGUUGUCCGGAUUUAUUGGGCGUAAAGAGCGUGUAGGCGGCCAGACAGGUCCGUUGUGAAAACUCGAGGCUCAACCUCGAGAUGUCGAUGGAAACCGUCUGGCUAGAGUCCGGAAGAGGAGUGUGGAAUUCCUGGUGUAGCGGUGAAAUGCGCAGAUAUCAGGAAGAACACCUAUGGCGAAGGCAGCACUCUGGGACGGUACUGACGCUGAGACGCGAAAGCGUGGGGAGCAAACAGG
Molecule: ribosomal RNA, 253 nt
Filed under: uncultured bacterium
Lineage: Bacteria
Description: partial 16S ribosomal RNA
Rfam family: Bacterial small subunit ribosomal RNA
Source: RNAcentral